AUUGAACGCUGGCGGCAGGCCUAACACAUGCAAGUCGAACGGUAACAGGAAGAAGCUUGCUUCUUUGCUGACGAGUGGCGGACGGGUGAGUAAUGUCUGGGAAACUGCCUGAUGGAGGGGGAUAACUACUGGAAACGGUAGCUAAUACCGCAUAACGUCGCAAGACCAAAGAGGGGGACCUUCGGGCCUCUUGCCAUCGGAUGUGCCCAGAUGGGAUUAGCUAGUAGGUGGGGUAACGGCUCACCUAGGCGACGAUCCCUAGCUGGUCUGAGAGGAUGACCAGCCACACUGGAACUGAGACGCGGUCCAGACUCCUACGGGAGGCAGCAGUGGGGAAUAUUGCACAAUGGGCGCAAGCCUGAUGCAGCCAUGCCGCGUGUAUGAAGAAGGCCUUCGGGUUGUAAAGUACUUUCAGCGGGGAGGAAGGGAGUAAAGUUAAUACCUUGGCUCAUUGACGUUACCCGCAGAAGAAGCACCGGCUAACUCCGUG
This 490-nucleotide ribosomal RNA is filed under the name uncultured bacterium. Its description in RNAcentral is "partial 16S ribosomal RNA". It matches the Rfam family "Bacterial small subunit ribosomal RNA", at positions 30 to 507 of the family's 1533-position model. The record is from RNAcentral.